GACGAACGCUGGCGGCGUGCCUAACACAUGCAAGUCGAACGUGAUUUCUGUGGAAAUUCUUUCGGGAAGGGAAAUGAAGUGAGAGGGGCGAACGGGGGAGUAACACGUGAGCAACCUACCUUACACAGGGGGAUAGCCGUUGGAAACGACGAUAAAUACCGCAUGAGACCACAGAAUCGCAAGAUACAGGGGUCAAAGGUUUAUCGGUGUAAGAGGGGCUCGCGUCUGAUGCGCGGGUUGGAAGGGUAAAGGCCUACCAAGGCGACGAUCAGUAGCCGGUGUGAGAGGAUGGGCCGCCACACUGGCGCUGGGCCGCGGUCCGAACUCCUACGGGAGGCGGCAAUGCGGAAUAUUGCACAAUCGGGGGAGCCCUGAUGCAGCGACGCCGCGAGAGCGCUGUAGGUGUUCGAAUCGUAAAGCUCUGUCCUAUGAGCAGAUAAUGACGGUAUCAUAGGAGGAAGCCCCGGCUAACUACGUG
RNAcentral lists this ribosomal RNA (478 nucleotides) under uncultured bacterium. RNAcentral describes it as "partial 16S ribosomal RNA". It matches the Rfam family "Bacterial small subunit ribosomal RNA", at positions 28 to 507 of the family's 1533-position model. The record is from RNAcentral.